RNAcentral lists this long non-coding RNA (324 nucleotides) under Hordeum vulgare. Its description in RNAcentral is "long non-coding RNA (HVUL_LNC006095)". The record is from RNAcentral. Lineage: Eukaryota; Viridiplantae; Streptophyta; Magnoliopsida; Poales; Poaceae.
CCCCGUCUUCUUCAGCCCGCCGGGGCUCAGCGCCAUCAGCGGGUAGUAGUGGGUGUACACGCGGUCGCUCUCUAACGUCGCCAGCCUCACGCGCACCUUGCCGAUCCUCUGGUCCUUUGCUCCUUCGCUAUGGUGGACGUGGUUGUUGUCGAACACGGCGACGGUGAUCACCGUGCUCAGGUCGAACACCUCCCAGGUGUACUGCUCGUUCCACGCCGGCGCCGCCGUGCCCAACAGCGUGCGCGUGCGCACCCACUUGGACCCGUACUUGGCCACGCAGUAGGGGUUCUUGCUGCCGCCCAGGCCGCGCGCGCUGAGGAUGCC